This 8229-nucleotide long non-coding RNA is filed under the name Daucus carota (carrot). Its description in RNAcentral is "long non-coding RNA (DCAR_LNC001596)". Lineage: Eukaryota; Viridiplantae; Streptophyta; Magnoliopsida; Apiales; Apiaceae. The record is from RNAcentral.
ACAAGGACUUCAGUGGCCUAGCUUCUUUCAGAGCUUGGCCUAUCGGAAUAACCCCCCAAGUCAUGUUAGGAUCACCGGCAUUGGUGAAUCCAAGCAAGAUCUUAUCGAAACAGGUGAGAGGCUAGCUGGAUUUGCCAGAGCAUUAAACCUACAGUUCGAGUUCCAUCCAGUUGUUGACAGAUUAGAAGAUGUCAGAUUGUGGAUGCUCCAUGUCAAGGAAGGAGAAUGUGUGGCUGUAAAUUGUAUAUUCCAACUGCACAAGAUGCUCUAUGAUGGCAGCGGAGGGAUACUUAUGGAUUUCAUGGGAUUACUUCGCAGCACUAACCCCACAGUCGUUGUCAUGGCUGAACAAGAAGCAGACCACAAUUGCCACAGAUUAGAAUCCAGAUUUUACAACUCACUGAAAUAUUACGGUGCCAUUUUUGACUCUCUUGACCUUUGCCUUCCACAAGACAGCUUGGCCAGGAUCAAAAUCGAGGAGAUGUUUGCACGCGAAAUCAAAAACAUUAUUUCUUGUGAAGGCCGCGACAGAUUGGAGAGGCAUGAAAAUUUUGGGAAGUGGAGGAAGUUGAUGGAGACGGGAGGGUUUCGUAACAUAGGAAUCACUGAUAGAGAAUUUCUUCAGAGUCGAAUGCUGCUGAAAAUGUACUCUUUUGAUAAUUUUAGAGUGGAAAAGCAGCAAGGCCAUCUUGAUGGCUGUAGUGCACUUACUCUAAACUGGUCUGAUCAACCCCUUUACACAGUUUCAGCAUGGGCGCCUCUUGAUAUUGCAGGAAGCUCCGCAUCUCACUCACAACCAAGUUAAUUUGAUUAACAUCAUCGUCUUCAUCAUCACAUUUUUAUUCACACAGUUAUAGAAAAUUCUUUGUAGGCACAGAAAUCCGUUAUCAUUUUUUUUAUUCUUUUGUCGCAGAUAAGAUAUGUCCUGAGAUUUAGAAUAUUAUAGUAAAGGCUUUGGCUCUAUGGUUCAGUUCAAAUUCUAGCUUCCGGGAGUCUCUAAAUAUAUCUCCAAAAUUCAUGUUUAUUCUUUGAUUUACUCCAUGUAAAUUCUUUGAUUUACUCCUCAUGUUUCUUUUGUUGCCGGAUAUAAUUUUUCUGCAAUCCACGGAGCUCAACCGGACGCGUUUGUCUAAUUAAAAAAAAAAAUUACUCAUUAUUUAGAGAGAGAAAACUUAAAAAUAUUAUUUGAAGUGUAUCAACAAGCUUAUUAUUAAUUUACAACUUUUUUGUACAGAAGUAACAAAUUAUUAUAAACUAUUAUACUAUAAAUUCAAAUUUUAAAAUCAAAAUAGUUAUUAAAAAAUUAGAAUUUCUAAAUUCUUAGAUUUCGGCGAUUAACUAAAUUACAAUAAAAAUAAGGUGAUCACACACCGUGAGAUUUGAAGAAAUAGAGCAGAGAUUUCUUAAAGUCUCUUCGAAGCAGAAUCUCUUAUAUUGAUAACCAAAUUUAGACGGUAAGCAAUUGAAUAUAUUUUCUCGUCAAUUCUGUAUCCUUCAAUGCAGAAUGUAAUGUCAACAUUCGAAAAAAGUCGAGCACAACUUCGAAGAGUAUAUAUAUGGAAAAAUAUCUCCAAUUACAUUGGCUAGCUAAUAUUUCUUGCUACAGAGGAUUUCAAUAAUUUAUAACAAACCCAAAUGGUAAACAGCCCAGAAACUCUUGGCUAGCAAAUGAUUGUACUGUAGAGUAUUCUUGAUAUUACGUUUGUUGUUCACUGUCAUUGGAUCGUCGAUAUGGCAUAAAUCUGUGAUCCUUGGCAGCAUUCUUUUUCCUCCUCUUCUCAAUGAAGGACUCGAGCUUGCCAGAUUGCUGACAAAUGACCAAGAAAAAGAUUCAGAUAAAGAAAAUGUACUGCAUUUUACCAUUACAAUGGUUGAUAGUAUUCAGAAACAUACCUUGAGUUCCUUGUAUUUCUCUAUAAGCUUCUGCUUUCGAAUUUCAGCUGCAAACCAUAGUAUUGAUUUUAGUCCAAUUCAUAUCUUGUCUAUCUCUAUUUUCAUUUUUUAAACACAUAUGCCUUUAUAUUAUGGUAUGACAACAUAAAUUCAACAGGAAUUUUGAUGGAAACAGAUAAGCGGAGAAAGGAUUACAUUUUUUCAAAUAGAAUGGCUGCUUCCCUUGUUUUGCUGCUUCUCUCUCUUUCUUCUUAUGCUCAGAAAGAAUCUUUUUAUCAGUAUUCUUUGUUGAGGCGGACUUUAGUUGUUUAUCCUGGCAUAGUUUAUAAAUCACAUCAACAUUACAAUUAAUUCAUUAGCACUUUAUCAAAUUCUAGAGUGAACAAAAAGUAUCAGCUAGAUCCAUUCAGCAAAAUAGCUGUUUUUAUCGUGAAAUGGUACUUACAACCCAAGUCAUCCGAUUUUUCAGUUCAUCCAUGGCAUUUGAAUCUUUUGUUUUCUUCAUUAAUUUCUUCAAUUCCUGCCAACAAAAAAAUAAUAUAUAUUAUUGUUGGCUAAAUUGGCAUUAACAAGAUACUUUAGGAUGCAAUCUUUUAUAUGUUCUCUCCAAAAACAUACCUCUUUUUCUGCUGGAAGUUCACGCUCAUACAAAAAAUUAUAUCUUUUCUUGAACCUAAGAGAUUUUGAAACAAGUUAAUUAUAUAAUCUCUGUUCGAAAUACAAGCCUUUUAACUUCUCGAAAACUACAGUUGAGAAAGACAAACAUGAUAACAUUAAUCAGCUACAUAAGCCUACAAAUAUUAUGUCGAUAAACAAAUAAAAAAGUAAAAUAAGGGACGGUAGUACUGAAAAGUAUAUGGAUUUUAUGUCUUUACACCUGUGCCCACUAAAAUGACCCAAAUUAUCAUAAAAUUUUAUGCUUAAAUGCUUGUUCUAAUGUCCACUCAGCUACUGGUAGAUAUUCUCUAGCUAACAACAAAUAAAUAUUUAAUAAGAAUAUAUAUUUCGCUUUCAGCACAGACUAAAACCUACAAUAUCCAUAGAAUAAUAUUGCACAUAAUAAUGUAAACAUUGUUUCAGCUAGUAAUAAGUAACAAACAAGGGAAGAUAGUACACAUAAUCAUGUAAACAUUGUUUCAGCUAGUAACAAGUAACAACCAAGGGAAGAUAGUACAGGUAAGAAAGAAAGCUGCUGUCAACAGCCAAACAAUGAACUCUUUAGCUAUGUAGUCAAUAUGUAUAGACGUGAGGAUUUAAAAGAAGAUGAAACAUGGGUCUAAGGUGAUACAGAGGAAUGAUGGGAAGCAUGGGCUUUAGUGUCUUACCCGUCCACAUCAAGUUCGCCACAUAAUGUCUCAAACCGGGGAUCACGCACAGCCUAUUAAAAACAAAACACAUUAGUCGAAAUGAAUGAUAUGACAAGCCUCAAUCAUCUUCUUUUUUAUCGUAAUCAAAAUUUGUAACAAAUCAAGUCUGAGAGACCAACAACAGUCUUCUCAGUAAUGUAAACUAGCUGUCAAUGGACUUGCGUAGAUAUAAUAAAAAGAGACCCUGUUAAUGAGAAUUUGUAUUAGAACUAAUUCCCAGUCCCAUCAAGUGGGUUGAAGACUUGAAGUGCCAUGAUCCAAACGGCCGCAGAUAGAAACUAAUUUCUAUUUAGGCCAUCCUCUAUUCCAGACUAAAGAAGCUAUUCAAGGGUGUGUGCGUAAGAAAACAUACUUAUUCAAAAAUGUAAUAAGCAUUCAUAAUCAGUAGCUUCCAAUAGACCAAAUUAAAAAAUAAAAUUUUCCAAUCCAACUAGCACAAUACUACACACAUAAUCACAUCAAACAACUGGAUCAAUAAUCAAUAUAACAUUACUCAACAUUAAAAUUACACUGGCCAACUAACCUUCUUAGGAACUUGAAUAACUUCUCUAAAUCUCGCAACAGGUUUUUUGCUAGUGACUUCCAUCGGCCUUCAAACAAAUAAUUACAAACUAUCAACACUUUAAUCGUAAACCACACAACCAAGAAACAGAACAAAGUAAAUUCCCAAAAUCAACCUGUUCUUAUUAGCCCGACUAGUACUUUUCUGAGAAUUAGGCUUCUGAUAAACAGUAUGUGACCCGUCACACCGAGCUUUCUGCAAGUCCUCAAAUGUAACAUCAGCAAGCUCCCUCUUUAUAUCAUCUUCCUACAAACCUCAAAUUUACGAUUAUAAGCACAAAAUCAGCUAUAUCAUUGAAAAUACAAAUAUGGGUGCUUUAAAUUUCAUACUUUAUUGCAUAAACAUGCACAUCAAUGUGUAAAGUACACAAACGCAACUAUAUCAAAGCAAAUACAAACAUGGGUCUAUCAAGAUUUAUACAAAUACAAAUCAAUGUGCAUAUUACAGAAAUUACAGAUACCUACAAAUACAAGCAUGGGUUUAUCAAGAUUCAUAUUUUAAUGCAUACAUAAACAAAUUAGUGUGUAAAUUGAGGUUUAUAUAUACAAACAUAUAGAUACAGAAAUUAGAGAUACUUACAUCUUCAGAGGACGAUAAAGAUUGGUUUUUUUUAUCAUCUUCAUCGCUAUCGGACUCAAACUUGAUUUUAGAUGAAGUGGGCUUGGCAAACUCAGGCUUUCUCAUCGUGAUUCGGGUUUGAUUAAGCUUUGUAUUUGCCCAAAAUCAAGGAAAAGAGGUCAAGUGAAGGAUACUAUACAAGUACGUUAAACCCUAAUUCGUUCGUACAUGUUCCCCAUUAAUGGGUUGACCCGUACUCCGACCCGAUCAUAUUUUUGUGAUUUUUCAAUUUUUUUAAAGGAAUUUUGAGUAUGAAAUUGAUGAAAAUAUCGGAUUUUGGAGGGCGGAAAUAACAAAAUACUAGUGAGUUUUGGAUAAGUUAACAAAAUACAGAUUUUUCAGAAAUAAAAUUUGACAUAUCUUCAAUAAUUUAUAUAUUAAAUAAAAGAUUCAAUUAGUUAUUUAAAUUGAAAAUUCACAAUUUUCGUAUAAUGUUUAUACCUUUUUUUGAAUUGGAAAAAUGAAAAUAUGUUAGAACAAACAGAUAUUUUAAAAAUAACUCGUGCUUGCAUCAUCUUUAAUCUAGAUAUUAUUAAAAGAAAUGGUUAUUUGAAUUUAGGGAANNNNNNNNNNNNNNNNNNNNNNNNNNNNNNNNNNNNNNNNNNNNNNNNNNNNNNNNNNNNNNNNNNNNNNNNNNNNNNNNNNNNNNNNNNNNNNNNNNNNNNNNNNNNNNNNNNNNNNNNNNNNNNNNNNNNNNNNNNNNNNNNNNNNNNNNNNNNNNNNNNNNNNNNGGAAAGAACCGGUCAAAAGCUUGAUAGUUAGGAAAAAAACUUGUAAUAAUCCUUGUAUUUUUAUCACUCAAUAUUCAUGUAAAAUCAUUUUUUUUGAAAAAUAUAUAUUUAAUUUUUAAUUUGAUUUAGUUUCAUACAAUAUUAUUUAAAACUGACCAAAAAGACUAUUGAAAUGUUGCAUAAGAGUAGUAUGUUGGUAUAUAAUAAUAGCACAAUAACCAGCUUAAUCUAGCUUUGUUCUAGAGACAUCUCAUAUGUUCAGUUUUUGACAUAGUUUAAUCUUAUGAGGCCCAGCAAUUUGUCUAACUUUCUAUGCUCCCACACAAAAAAACAAAUAACAAUAAUAACUUUAAUUAUGAUCAGAACACUAUUUAGUUAGAGUAAAAGAUAAAUUAUAAUUCUCAUACAAUAUUGAGUUAGAGUAAUGAUUAUUUAAUCUUUCUAAAAAUUAACCUCUGAUCCUAUAUAUCCAAUUAUGCUAUCUUUCAAAUUAAUAUAAUAUUAAAUUUUAGAAAAAUUAAAUCAAUAUUUCCAAAAAUGAAACUCAAGAAAGUACAGUAAAUCAAUUUCCUGGAAAUUUCAACAAAAUGAUAAUAAAGUACACAACGGUCAAGUGAAGAAGCAUCGCCCAACAAGCACACUCAACUGGUUUUUUUCUCGAAAAAGCAAAUAAAUAUGUCAUCAAAUAUUACAACGGUACUAUUUCAUUAACGGUCAUGUAGACACUCAAUCUAAACCGUCAAUCUUUACAUCAAACGGUCAUAAAUCAACAGUGACCCAUUUGUACAUGCAAAUGCAAUAGUGUUAUACCAGCUCAAGAUACAAACUUUACCUCAUUUCAUAACACCCCUUCUCCAGUAAACUUAUAAAGAUUCAAGCUUUAUUGCUAAUUAGCUCUUUUGGGUACUUGGGUUUUGUUUUCUUGAUGAUUGUUCUUGAAAGAUUGAAUCUUUAUUUGUAAUUCAACUUUUUGGUACUUGGGUUGUGUUUUGUUGAUGAUUGUUGUAGUUCUUUUGUGCUUUUUUGACUGGGAUUGAGUAUUGAACUUGUAAUGGACUUGUGGAAGGCUUCGAAAGCCGGGAUGGGUCAUUCAUCUUCAUCAGUUUCUCAGUUCUUCAGCUACCCGUUUGAGAUGGAGUUCGAGGUUCAUUCAGCUGAGCAAUUGAGGUUCUUUCUAGUUAAUAUUCACUGAAUGUUUUAAAAUCCGAUGGUCAUUUUUCGGUAGGUUUGUUUUCUUAUACUCCUCUUAAAUUCUUUGAUUCUUUAUUGUGUCUAAUUCUUACUGAUUGCAUUCUAUUCUUUGUUGCACAUAUCAUUAUUUAUCAUUGACAUAGAGACACAAGACUGAUCUUUUUUCACUGAUUUUAUUCGUUAUCUUGCCAUCGGAUUCUAAAUUCUUUUGUUGAACACACACACUCACAGUUUGAUACUCUGCAAUAUUACAUUCUUUAAAUUUAUACAAACUGAUCAUACAUUGCAUAGUUAAUUGACUUUUCUUGAACAAAGAAACAUAUAAAAGAAGUAAUUAAGGUUCGGAAGGCGGUUUAAAGUAUGUUGGCCGGGUGUCCUUCCACAUUAUUGUCUCCGAGGCAUAGAUUGAGGAGUGAAGCAUCUGCGCAAUUUCAAGCUUGUCAUUUUCCUUCAAUGAGCACGCAGAGACUGGAGUUGCCAUGUAGUUUUACGCGGAAAGAGACCUCAAGAUCGCAAUCCAUAAGGCCUGUUGUUAACCUUUCAAUUGAGAAGCCAGCGGAAGCCAGGACGAGUAGUUGUUCCCUCAAGAAAAGCAUUAGUCUUCCACCCUUGACAACCGCAGGUCAAGUUGUAUUUCAUGAUGGUAGAUUAGAGAGGAGAGAUGAGUUCCGGGAUAAAAACAAGAACAGAUUGAAGAGGUUUGCGGAUGAGAAUUUCUUUGAUGAGGAUAUUAAUAGAGCUAAGAAAAUAAGGGGUAGCAGAAAGUAUGAUGAUUCUUCAGAAGGGGGUGAGAACUUAUGCUUAGAUCAGCAUUGGUUUCAUCAGAGCUUUGAGGUCCCAACGUCUGUGUCACAGUUUUCGGGCCUUAAUCCACAACAAGCUCCUUUCUCUCUUGUAUAUUCAGAGGAGGAGGAUACAUGUGUUGCUUCGAGCAAGGUGACUAUUUCUCCUUUGCCAAACAAUCCUUGGGCGGAAUCAGUUGUAACUGAGUUUCCCAAGCUAGGCGAGAGGGAUGUUGAGCCAAGCCAAGCAAUAGCGAAGGAGGCAUCCGAAUCAAGUACAUCCUCAGGGAGUGAUAACAAUUUGGCUAACAGGGUGCAUGACGAUGCCACAGAACAUGAGAUAGGUAAUGUGUCUAGACCACAUAACCCUAAUGGAAGUACUGGUUUUGUAGCAGGGAGCAGUGAUGGCAAUGGGGACCAUGACGGAUUUGAGCUAGUUAGCUUACUCAUGGCCUGUAUCGACGCAAUUCACUUGAAGAACAUUGAAGGAGUUAAUCAUUUUAUAGCUAAGUUGGGGGAACUUGCUUCUCCACGAGGAUCUUCUAUAAGUCGUCUAACAGCUUAUUUUACUGAAGCCAUGGCUUUACGAGUUGCAAGGGUUUGGCCUCAUAUCUUUUACAUUAAUACACCACGCGAGCUUAAUUCAGCUGAGGAAGAAAGUGGCACUGCACUAAGGCUUUUGAACCAGGUUAGCCCGAUUCCACAGUUCAUUCAUUUCACAGCAAAUGAGGUUCUGCUAAGAGGGUUUGAAGGGAAGGACAGGGUUCAUAUAAUAGAUUUUGACAUUAAACAAGGACUUCAGUGGCCUAGCUUCUUUCAGAGCUUGGCCUUUCGGAAUAACCCCCCAAGUCAUGUUAGGAUCACCGGCAUUGGUGAAUCCAAGCAAGAUCUUAUCGAAACAGGUGAGAGGCUAGCUGGAUUUGCCAGAGCAUUAAACCUACAGUUCGAGUUCCAUCCAGUUGUUGACAGGUUAGAAGAUGUCAGAUUGUGGAUGCUACAUGUCAAGGAAGGAGAGUGUGUGGCUGUGAAUUGUAUAUUCCAACUGCACAAGAUGCUCUAUGAUGGCAGCGGAGGGAUACUUAUGG